RNAcentral lists this ribosomal RNA (253 nucleotides) under uncultured bacterium. RNAcentral describes it as "partial 16S ribosomal RNA". It matches the Rfam family "Bacterial small subunit ribosomal RNA", at positions 524 to 776 of the family's 1533-position model. The record is from RNAcentral.
GACGAACCGUGCGAACGUUGUUCGGAAUCACUGGGCUUAAAGGGCGCGUAGGCGGGUCACCAAGUCCGGGGUGAAAUCUUUCGGCUCAACCGGAAAAUUGCCUUGGAUACUGGUGGUCUUGAGGGAGGUAGGGGCAUGUGGAACUUCCGGUGGAGCGGUGAAAUGCGUUGAUAUCGGAAGGAACGCCGGUGGCGAAAGCGACGUGCUGGAUCUCUUCUGACGCUGAGGCGCGAAAGCUAGGGUAGCGAACGGG